Molecule: ribosomal RNA, 403 nt
Filed under: uncultured bacterium
Lineage: Bacteria
Description: bacterial SSU rRNA
Rfam family: Bacterial small subunit ribosomal RNA
Source: RNAcentral
AGGUCUUGACAUCCUCUGACAACCCUAGAGAUAGGGCUUUCCCUUCGGGGACAGAGUGACAGGUGGUGCAUGGUUGUCGUCAGCUCGUGUCGUGAGAUGUUGGGUUAAGUCCCGCAACGAGCGCAACCCUUGAUCUUAGUUGCCAGCAUUUAGUUGGGCACUCUAAGGUGACUGCCGGUGACAAACCGGAGGAAGGUGGGGAUGACGUCAAAUCAUCAUGCCCCUUAUGACCUGGGCUACACACGUGCUACAAUGGACAGAACAAAGGGCUGCGAGACCGCAAGGUUUAGCCAAUCCCAUAAAUCUGUUCUCAGUUCGGAUCGCAGUCUGCAACUCGACUGCGUGAAGCUGGAAUCGCUAGUAAUCGCGGAUCAGCAUGCCGCGGUGAAUACGUUCCCGGGCC